RNAcentral lists this ribosomal RNA (448 nucleotides) under uncultured bacterium. Its description in RNAcentral is "partial 16S ribosomal RNA". It matches the Rfam family "Bacterial small subunit ribosomal RNA", at positions 330 to 793 of the family's 1533-position model. The record is from RNAcentral.
ACCAGACUCCUACGGGAGGCAGCAGUGGGGGAGAUGGCACAAUGGGGGGAACCCUGAUGAAGCGACGCCGCGUGGGAGAAGGAGCGUUUAGGAGCGUAAAGACCUAUCGGCAGGGAAGAAGGAGGACGGUAACUGACUAAGAAGGCCCGGCUAACUACGUGCCAGCAGCCGCGGUAAUACGUAGGGGGGAAGCGUUAUCCGGAUUUACUGGGUGUAAAGGGGGCGCAGACGGCAGCGCAAGCCAGGAGUGAAAGCCCGGGGCCCAACCCCGGGACUGCUCUUGGAACUGCGCGGCUGGAGUGCAGGAGGGGCAGGCGGAAUUCCUGGUGUAGCGGUGAAAUGCGUAGAUAUCAGGAGGAACACCGGUGGCGAAGGCGGCCUGCUGGACUGCGACUGACGUUGAGGCCCGAAAGCGUGGGGAGCAAACAGGAUUAGAUACCCCUGUAAG